Molecule: ribosomal RNA, 407 nt
Filed under: uncultured prokaryote
Description: bacterial SSU rRNA
Rfam family: Bacterial small subunit ribosomal RNA
Source: RNAcentral
UGGGGAAUAUUGGGCAAUGGGCGAAAGCCUGACCCAGCAACGCCGCGUGAAGGAAGAAGGUUUUCGGAUUGUAAACUUCUGUCCUCAGGGAAGAAGGAAGUGACGGUACCUGAGGAGGAAGCCCCGGCUAACUACGUGCCAGCAGCCGCGGUAAUACGUAGGGGGCGAGCGUUGGCCGGAAUGACUGGGCGUAAAGGGCGCGUAGACGGCUGUCUAAGUCUGGAGUGAAAGUCCUGCUUUCAAGGUGGGAAUUGCUUUGGAGACUGGAUGGCUUGAGUGCGGAAGAGGUAAGUGGAAUUCCCAGUGUAGCGGUGAAAUGCGUAGAGAUUGGGAGGAACACCAGUGGCGAAGGCGGUUCUCUGGACCUUUCCUGACGCUGAGAAGCGAAAGCGUGGGGAGCAAACAGG